RNAcentral lists this long non-coding RNA (1020 nucleotides) under Fragaria vesca (wild strawberry). RNAcentral's name for it is "long non-coding RNA (FVES_LNC000539)". Lineage: Eukaryota; Viridiplantae; Streptophyta; Magnoliopsida; Rosales; Rosaceae. The record is from RNAcentral.
GGAAUAUGAGACAUUGCCUGUAGAUUUAUAAGGGUUUGGGCUACUCCAUCCAUUGCUAAUUGAUUUUGGAUAUGAAUCCUAGACAACUUUAUCAGUUAUCACAUACAUAUGAUUAUGAAUUAUUAAGAUUGCAUCGUGCACUUGCACAGUCGUGUAUAUAUCUAGAAUUUUGCUAUAUAAUUUGACACUCUGGCGACCUGUUGGCUUCUAGCGGCGGUGGUGGCUUCACUGGAUAGCUAGCACGGUGGUGAAUGUCCUACAUUUUUAAGGUUGCACUUGUCCAUUUAGAUCUAUUAAGAUAGAGUUGUAUUUCUGUUGUCCGUUUAUCCGAUCCGGAAUUUCAUAAUGUAACACAUCUCCACACGGAUGUAAGUGUUGAGAGUCUGAAACCCGACACAGACUCAAUGCAUGAAGAGGAAAAUCGCCCCGCUAGCUGCUGCCAUCAAUCAAAGCCAAAACCGUUCAAUAUAUAUACCACUAUAAAACACGCCAUCCAUAUGCGAACAUCAAAACGUACUCGAUCGUAUAUGGGGGGAGUCUGAACACUGAUGGGAACUUGAAAACCCCACGGAUAGGUGGAAAAUCCGAAACCUGAUAGCAACUCGAUGCAUGUUCGUUCAGGUUCGUCGUCAAAACUGAAAAACGGUGAACGUACGUACUCAACUUCUGAUAAAGUUGAGCCUGCAUUACACAAAAUUAUCGCUCAACUUCUACAAUAAUGCCACUGCAUAUUAUUUAGCAGCUGGGUAAGUUUUUUUCUUUCUUAUAUAUACAGGUAGGUAGGAUUGGAUCUGGAGUAGAAAACAUGAGAAUCAAUCGAGCUGUAUAAUUUUGGAACGAUCUGCAGGUGGGGUUAAGAACUGCCAUCUCCGUGGUGGUCCUUUGGGUCCAUCGCUUAUCAGAGUUGAUUCGAAGGGUCGCUUUUCAAAUUCCAGAAAUUUGAUAAAUAUAGAAGCGACCCGACUUAUCACACAUCCUCUCUUGCCUGAUAGCUGAUAAGAGGAAGAGCAAAAGCAUCAC